Long non-coding RNA from Vigna unguiculata (cowpea), 1340 nucleotides. The record is from RefSeq and is a predicted model, not a curated record. Lineage: Eukaryota; Viridiplantae; Streptophyta; Magnoliopsida; Fabales; Fabaceae.
GGGUGCGGGCUUAUCAGAAAUGGAGGUGUACGAAGAAACUGUCCCAAGCCAUAGCAAAGUCGUGGGUGUGAAGAACUUAAUAUUGGGGGGUGCGCGAGAAAAGCCACGCAGACACAAUUUUAAUACACAGGGGGGUGAAAAUGUCAAAAAUGGGGGUGCAAGGAGUGAAGUGGGCUGAGACUUGAAUGUGAUUAAUCUAAACCCUAGCAGCUCACGAACCAAACGCCAAACCCUCUCUCUCGACGGCACCAAGACCACGCCAGCGAGUGCCGCUGCCUGCCAACCUACCGCCCUCACCUCUGCUCCGCCACGCCGCCCCGCGACUGGUUGCCGGCGACGCUAAUCGACGCCGGAGGGUCGUCCUCCCUCUCGGCGGCUCAACCACCUUGCUUUCACUCAUGCACCGGAACGCAACUCCAAGAGAUCAACGCCGACGCAGCGCCUGCAACCCACCGUGAACGCCGCCACCGCCGCGACCGACGCGCGUCGCCUACGGCGCCCAUUUCCCCUUCUGCGCGAGGAUUUCUUCCCGGUCGAAGCUCCGCGCGUUCAUCCGCUGCCAGCCCGUCGCGAUCGCUUCGCGUCGCACCGCCUUGCCGCCACCGUCGAGGGAAACGUCGGCGCCGCUGAUGCGAACAGGGGGUGCGUCCUCUCCUCUAAUCUGCGAGGUCGAACAGAGGCCCACGGCGAUAAUGUUGGUGAGCGAAACUAGAGCCGCUGUCGUUAAAGCUCCGACUCGCCGGCGGCGUGUGAUCGGGGAAGAUUAAGACGGGGGUCUUUGGUGCUAUUACGGAUUUCGGUCUGGUGUGAUGUUGAGUCGCAGAGAUGGGGUUGUAACAAAGGUGGGAGACAAAGAUGAUGGCAAGUGAGUAAGCGGGUGAAGACGCGCUCUACAAAACCGUUUGUGAAGUAUGUUUGGGGUUCUGGUUUGGACCUCCUGCAGGUGGAUGAAUGAAGCACGAGCUUUUUGGUGUGUUGAUGAUGGGUGAGGGGGAUAGAGUUUGGGUUGCCGUUUUGGUUUGAUUGGUUGCGAGAAGAGAAGGAUGAAUUGGGGGUUAGAUGAUGGGUUGAGGAGCUUGUUCGUUGGCUAUGACUGGCUAUGUGCUGAUGAGUGGUGCUUACCUCUUGUAGUCUCCCUGUGUUUGUAAGGUGUGAUCAAUGGAGGCUCCCCUGUUCUCGUUCUUCCUUUCAGAUGAUUCCUUUCAGAUGCAAGGGUGCUCUCUUCUUUUUUGUUAUCUGUUAUGAAAUGCGAAACUGUGUAUCCUCCCCCAGUUGCUCUCUUGCCCCUUGUGAUAUUGUAUCCUCCCUUCUUUUCAGAAUGGUUUGACCGUUCUUCUUAC